This 130-nucleotide ribosomal RNA is filed under the name Lactiplantibacillus plantarum. Its description in RNAcentral is "Lactobacillus plantarum partial 16S ribosomal RNA". It matches the Rfam family "Bacterial small subunit ribosomal RNA", at positions 1413 to 1533 of the family's 1533-position model. The record is from RNAcentral. Lineage: Bacteria; Bacillati; Bacillota; Bacilli; Lactobacillales; Lactobacillaceae.
UGUAACACCCAAAGUCGGUGGGGUAACCUUUUAGGAACCAGCCGCCUAAGGUGGGACAGAUGAUUAGGGUGAAGUCGUAACAAGGUAGCCGUAGGAGAACCUGCGGCUGGAUCACCUCCUUUCUAAGGAA